RNAcentral lists this ribosomal RNA (292 nucleotides) under uncultured bacterium. RNAcentral describes it as "partial 16S ribosomal RNA". The record is from RNAcentral.
GGACUACCGGGGUAUCUAAUCCUGUUUGCUACCCACGCUUUCGCGCCUCAACGUCAGUAUGAGUCCAGGAAGCCGCCUUCGCCACUGGUGUUCUUUCCGAUAUCUACGCAUUUCACCGCUACACCGGAAAUUCCACUUCCCUCUACUCUACUCUAGUCAUACAGUAUUAAAUGCCAUUCCCAGGUUAAGCCCGGGGAUUUCACACCUAACUUAUAUAACCGCCUACGCGCCCUUUACGCCCAGUAAUUCCGAUUAACGCUUGCACCCUCUGUAUUACCGCGGCUGCUGGCAC